CCCCUCUCUGGGCUGCAUCUGGAGAGUUUCCAGUACUCUACCAGUCUCGACUAUGGGAGGGAGACAAGCAGAGGCCUACCCAUUCCAUUCCUAGCUUCGGCAGUGGCUAGCAAAUGGAAGGCAACCUGCUACAAAU
RNAcentral lists this small nucleolar RNA (136 nucleotides) under Ornithorhynchus anatinus (platypus). Lineage: Eukaryota; Metazoa; Chordata; Mammalia; Monotremata; Ornithorhynchidae. The record is from RNAcentral.